RNAcentral lists this ribosomal RNA (412 nucleotides) under uncultured bacterium. RNAcentral's name for it is "bacterial SSU rRNA". It matches the Rfam family "Bacterial small subunit ribosomal RNA", at positions 29 to 433 of the family's 1533-position model. The record is from RNAcentral.
AACGAACGCUGGCGGCGCGCCUAAUACAUGCAAGUCGAACGAGAAGGUGUAGCAAUACACUUGUACAGUGGCGAACGGGUGAGGAAUGCAUGGGCAACCUACCCUCGAGUGGGGAACAACCAGCCGAAAGGUUGGCUAAUACCGCGUACGCUUCCGGGUCUCCGGAUCCGGAAGGAAAGUCACACCGUGGGUGUGACGCUCAAGGAUGGGCUCAUGUCCUAUCAGCUUGNGGUGAGGUAACGGCUCACCAAGGCAACGACGGGUAGCUGGUCUGAGAGGACGAUCAGCCACACUGGCACUGCGACACGGGCCAGACUCCUACGGGAGCAGCAGUAAGGAAUAUUGCGCAAUGGGCGAAAGCCUGACGCAGCGACGCCGCGUGGGGGAUGAAGGUCUUCGGAUUGUAAACCCC